CCUUCUUUUCGUUCGUUAUUACUUGCAAAAUAUAGGAUGAUUUAUACCUAGUGACAUAUUUUCAAGUGUUUACAAAUUUACUGCUAAUAUAGACGUCACUUAAAACUCUGAAGUAGUUGAUUUUAAAAACAAUAAAUCACGGAACCAUUUUCACUGCCGUACAAUUUCUCGAUUUCAGUAACAGUAGUCUCCACUUAUCAAUUUUCUUAUAAAUUCCGUCGCAAAAAGAACUGUUUUCACCACUUUGUGGUGAUAUUUAUUCUUCUGUAGGAUCAUAUUCGUGAAAUUCAGGGAUUCAACAUGCCGAAAGAGGAAAAUUCCACAAAUUAUGCUGCAGGGGGCGGCAAAGGUGGGGCUGGAAUGGACAAGGGGAAAAACAAGUCAUCCAAAGCCAGCAAGAAAUGGGUCAGGCUUGCAACUGUACUGGCAUACGUCCUGUCAGUGUCUUUGGCUGCCAUAGUCUUGGCCGUAUACUACAGUUUGUUGUGGAAGCCUGUUCUUCAAACCAUGAAAACUGGCGAUGAAGGUACUUCAACUAAAAUGCCAACAGUUUCUGUUGCGGCAGAUGUUUACAACACCACGAUGGCACCUAACACAGCAACUACCACCACUCCUCCUGCUUCUGGCUAGCAUCGCUUACUAACUUUCCAGUUCUGUACUGACAUAAUAUCCUUUGGGGUAAACUGAAGAUGACGAGAUUUCACUGAAUUUGAUACUCAUUCUGACUAUUUGAAGCUGAACUAAAAGACUCAUCAUCCAUUUCAAUUUGCCCAAAAUACUUUCUUCGGAUUAAAUGCUGGAAUACAAACUUUUCAUCCAUUUCUUCUGGAAUAGAGAGAUCAAGAUAUUUUUCAAGCAAAGUAGAAUUUAUACUAUUACCACAUGAAAUACGCUACAGUCUUUCCUGCAUUGUCCUGCCGAUAAAGAUUGAGAUGGAGUCUCAUGGUCUGUGAAAAUAGAAGACUUCUGAACUGAUAUCUGAUAAUCAAGGGCCAUCAUCACAAGUUGACGAAGUGCAAGACAUUACAACUGGUAUAGGUACAAUGUACAUUUAAAUCAUGAUGUACAAGACUCUUUUACAUCUAUAUAGUGUAUGGUAAUUUUCCACCUCAGUGUUUUCAAACUGAAAUGUUGUACACAUUGCACAUUUUGUAAAGCUCACCUUGUGACUAUGAGUAUGAAGUUGCUCUUUUUUUUAUUUAUUGGCAUUCAGAAAUAACAGGUUGAGCCUGCUAACAAUGGAGCAUUUGAAAACAAGAAGUAUUCUUGUUGGUGAUAUCAGUAGUACUACUCAUUUAGCAAAAUUUAACUCCGGUUUCAGUGGUUCCAACGAGACAUAAUGAUAGGGCAAUAUGUUUGUAAAUUUGUAAAGAAAUGCACUUUGUAUAAAAUCCAGCACCCCUCUUGUAAAUUCUUAUGUUAUUGUACUAUGCCUAUGGUAUAUUUGGGAAACGUUGGACUCUAGAUCUGAUACCUGAUGUACAGUGCCAUUUUGUUUCCCUCCUGAAAUGUUUUCUGUAGGUACAUGUGACAUUGCAAAAUAUGCUCUGAACGGGAUGAAAUCACAGUAAAAACCAAAAUAUGCCCAACUUUUAAGAAAAGCAGGGUCUCUCCCAAAUAAGAGGCCUGGAGUCUUGUAACGACAAAAAGAGGUGUGACGUGGUCGCCACCUGACAUUUUAUUCUGAUAAGUUGGCUCUCGUUUGCUACAUUUACAACAUACAGUCUUUUAAACCAUUUUUACAUCAAUUAUUUUAAAGCCCAACCCGACCCUUUCCUAUUAGUGUACUCUAACUAUUGACGGACUGUUGACAUAUGAAUAGAAAUACUUCACGGAAGUCUAUCUUAUUGUUAAGGUCACUGAUGAUCUGGUUGUAUCCUAAGGACCCACAAACUGUCUCCAUGGCAACCAAUCUGAAGUGUUAUUGUCCAGAACCGAUAAGCCUGUUUCCAUGGUUACUGAUGAGGUACAGUGAGGGGCGUGGCUCAGCAGUUAGUUGAAUAAGACAACAUACACGUAUUGAUUGUGGGGAUUCUUGGAACGAUGAAUGCAAUUCAUUGUUAAUCAACAAGUUUGCCUGUGACAUAGAACGAAGCUGUAGCCUGUGCAAAACAAUUUGUUUUCCAAAGAUGUCAUCAAAAAUUGAUUAAGGAUAACCCCAUGAAUCAAAGUCCCCAAACUCCAUAUUUAACCCUUAUCAAUUGGUGUUUUUUAAUAAAUAGCUUGUUAUCUCCGCGGAGAUUCUCCUGGGUGAUGUCGAAAUUUUGUUUGAAUUGCUGUUUGAAGACCGAGAAGUUGUUGAAGGCUCCGAGAUGCCCAGUAAAGGGUUUUCGUCAGUGUGCACAUGUAUGAUGUACAUUUUUUACACCACUCUAUCCUGCAUGUACAUGUUUAUGGUAGCCUACAGUUAAUUGGGUGAUGAUGUUCUGUUAUUAGGCACCGCAUCAAUGCUGAUCAAAUCAAUAAUGAGGUGGACGUAUUAAUUUGAUGAGAAAGGGAUGGGGUUAUUACUCUGGAUGAUCAUGACGAAUAAUUACUUGUGGCUCCAGCUUGGUUCACCAAUAUUUCAUGCAUGGUGAACAUAUACCUGUAGGUCGUCUGAGUGAAUACAAUAGCAACUUUCAUUCACUGACAGAUUUUAAAAGUGUCCUUGUAUCGGAAGCAGAGAGGAAAUAGGUCAUGCACAUUGAUCUGAUCCUUAUGUAGAUCUGGCAACCCCAGAGGAACAUGUACAUGUAUGGCGACAUCAUCCUUCGACGUCUGUUAAUAGCCAUUAUAAACCUCUGGACUGCUCUUCAUAAAGUUAAUUGUACCUUUAUAAUUUUAAUCCAACUGGUUUCAUUUUAGUGCUUCGACCCCCCCCCCACGCCAAUUAUUGGUCUGUACAUUAAUAAUUCAAGUCAGGUAAGUGUCUUACUUAAGAACACAGAUUGGUGUCCUUCCGAGGGCCAAACCUCCUGAUGAUACAACGCAUGGGUCUGGGGUCUGGCACUUAAAUUACUACGCAUGUAUGCCAAUGAUCACCCUCCGAGUUACAAGAGUACAAUACGGCAUUAUUUUCAUUAAACCUAAUAUUAUGACCAAAUAAGGUUUAGCAGUGAUCAGUCCAAUUGAUGAAAGUGUUGAACGUGUACAUGAAUUGUACAUUACAUGUUGACGCAUUGAUUUCUAAUUUUAUGUAUCAUUGAUUUCCCACCUGCUUUGUCACUAAAACAGGGCUAUUUUUCCUAUUUUUGUCAUGGGGGUGUGGCAUGUGGUGUGUCACUACAGCAAGGUUAUGUUAAAUUGCCUGACAUUCUGUAGAAAAGAUCCGCAAUUUUUAAUGAUGCCUGAAACAAAGUAGAGCUUGAAUGUUGCCAUCUGAAGGCUUGAGAUGUCAUUUAGAUUCAAAUGGCUGGGCAGCUUGCUUUUCAACCAUCCUAUCUAACCUGUAGUGUACAGUCCUGGAACCCGUAGACCUACUCUAGCUAUACACACCCUUCUGGAUAAUUUUCCGCUACGUUUCAAUGGGGUACGUCUAUGUAGUGAGAAAAAAUUGUGCAAAACGUAGUGAAAAAUAUUCUAGGAGAACCAAAGAACAUUACAAAUUUUUGGGUUUCCAAUGCCCUUUCUGAAGAUUCCUAAAAAUGGUGACAAUAAAUGUACCGUAUUUUUGAAAACAGUUCACAAUGUAUAGUUUCUCCUUCGUAAUCUAAAAACAUUCUCUUAAUUACUUUUUCUACGACUGUUCUUUUUCCAUAUUGUUUUAAAUAUCGCAUCGACUCACCUUAUCUUUUGUAAAUUCUUUGCAAGCAAUAGCUUCAUGGUGUACAUAAGCUGCUGUUUCAUACAAUGUACCUCACAUGUACAUGUCUACUAGAGACAAAUGCACUUGUAAAUAGAUGGAAUAAAACUAAUUGUACAUUGUAUGCGAUACGACUGUCAGUAUUACUGUCCAUCAGUCAUAUUUUUGCGCGAUAAUGAUAUUAUUGGGGCUCGUAAUUUUCCAGUUCAACUCUGUGUUUUGUGUACUGUUAGCGUUCUCACAAUCAAUGAUUUAUGAAACAUUUUUUUGCUAGAAAUAUCUUGUAUACAUGUAGGUGUUCACAUGCUACUCAAUUAUCUACUCAAUUAUCUCAAUUAUCUCUUAUCGAUACUUGGUAUUAUCAAGAUGUUUCUUGGUAUCAUCAGGUUGCUUUAUGUGCCAUUCAAGCUUCUUUUUGAGUUUGCUGAGCACUUGUUUUUUUCCCCAGCAUAUUUUAACUUAAAAGAAUCUCAGACCAACUCUCAAGCUUGUGGUUUUAACUUCAGCAGGACUCCCUUGGAAUGCUGAAAACUGCAUGGUUUUCACAGGUGUUGGAUUAAUUUUGAUGUUAGUUAUUGGCCUGGCAAUUGUAACUGACCACAAAGCCUGUCAAACGCGGAAAGCAUAUCCGCUGUGUGGAAUUUGUCCCGACUGUGAAGCAAGGCAGAGUAUAAUGGCGGAAGGAAUCUUUUAGUGUUGAUUUAAAGAAAAUCACCAACAAAACAAAGUUUCUAUAAAUCUAAUUUUCAGUUUGGUUCAAUAAAAAACAAAUGAAAGUGGUUGUGCGACCAACAGGGAACUCCACCCUAUGAUGAUUGCAUUGAUAAAAACAUCAAUUAUAAAUGAUAUGAACUAAGGUGAAAUCCAUAGAUUUUGCUGGGAUUAAUGUCAAUAUAUUGAGCACUGUAUUGCUGCCAGGCAUACACAAGUAAUAUUUGAAAUGAUUAUAUUGUGUUCUUUCUUGUCUGGGUGGUUUGCUAGCUACUGUCGGGUCAAUACGGCGGCCAUGUACAGUUACAAGAUUCACAAUAAUUUUCAGGUUUCUGGAAACCAGUGUUCUUUAGUGUCGUGCUAACGGUGGUGUCCACUGAAGAUGCCGACGGUUCCAUCGUACUUGUAUUCUUUAAAAACCAUGUGUCAAUUAGGACUUCAUUGGAACAUAUUUCAAAAAAAUUUGUAUAACGCAUGCAUGAAUUAGUCCAAUGGAGGUCUUUUUCAUGUGCAUAUGUAUAACCAGAUACACUGACGAAACCUUGAAAGUUUUUCUUACUUGUGCUAGGAUAUGUGCCACAAAAGAAAAAGAAAGUGAAAUGUAUAAAUAUAGAUUGUGGAAUGUUUGUUGCCUUGUUUUGCGGUGAAGAACCUUCUAUGGGGCCCCAGGGCUUAGCCAUGGCAA
Molecule: long non-coding RNA, 5180 nt
Organism: Lineus longissimus
Lineage: Eukaryota; Metazoa; Nemertea; Pilidiophora; Heteronemertea; Lineidae
Exons: 2
Source: RefSeq, a predicted model, not a curated record